RNAcentral lists this ribosomal RNA (426 nucleotides) under uncultured bacterium. RNAcentral describes it as "bacterial SSU rRNA". It matches the Rfam family "Bacterial small subunit ribosomal RNA", at positions 354 to 796 of the family's 1533-position model. The record is from RNAcentral.
GUGAGGAAUAUUGCACAAUGGGCGAAAGCCUGAUGCAGCAACGCCGCGUGGAGGAAGAAGGCCUUCGGGUCGUAAACUCCUUUUCUGGGGGACGAGAAAGGACGGUACCCCAGGAAUAAGUCUCGGCUAACUACGUGCCAGCAGCCGCGGUAAUACGUAGGAGGCGAACGUUAUCCGGAAUUACUGGGCGUAAAGCGCACGCAGGCGGCUUCGUAAGUCCGACGUGAAAGCUCCCGGCUUAACUGGGAGAGGCCGUUGGAUACUGCGGAGCUCGAGGUUAGGAGAGGAAAGUGGAAUUCCCGGUGUAGUGGUGGAAUGCGUAGAUAUCGGGAGGAACCCCAGUGGCGAAAGCGACUUUCUAGCCUACACCUGACGCUGAGGUGCGAAAGCGUGGGGAGCGAACAGGAUUAGAAACCCCAGUAGUCC